Molecule: long non-coding RNA, 471 nt
Filed under: Homo sapiens (human)
Lineage: Eukaryota; Metazoa; Chordata; Mammalia; Primates; Hominidae
Description: non-protein coding lnc-PROC-1:4
Source: RNAcentral
GGCGCAUACGCACCUGGGUUGUCUCGAGCCUGCGGUAGUGGCCAGAUCCCAGACAUCCGAGUAGAUCCCGUGAAAAGGUCUUCUUCUUGGUUUCUUCGUACAUUCUGGAUCCACCCCUUUCAUGCAUAUUCCAGACCACAUUUCCACUGGAGCAGUUGAAAUGAGAGAGAUGGGAAUGGGACUCACCCGAACCAGAGGUGAAUUUUUAUUACAGACCCAUUAACAGAGGUGUCAAAGUCACAGGAACAAGGAUGUGCACCUCAGAAACACAGAGGUCAGUGGAAAAUCAGUUUGCUUCUAUUUGUUUAAAAAAUGGGGGACUUAUGCAUAAAUCUAAGACCUUCUUGAAUCUAACAUUCUAAGACCUGUAUGCCACAGAAAGGAGGGUCUCAGAACGCCGGAGGAUAGUAUUUAAAUCUUAAAUAUCUAUAUUGUUCUCCACAGUUACUGGGUCACCACAUAGCAGGCAUU